UAAUAUGGUCGGGGGAUGACGGUACCGGAAGAAUAAGCACCGGCUAACUACGUGCCAGCAGCCGCGGUAAUACGUAGGGUGCAAGCGUUAAUCGGAAUUACUGGGCGUAAAGCGUGCGCAGGCGGUGAUGUAAGACCGAUGUGAAAUCCCCGGGCUUAACCUGGGAACUGCAUUGGUGACUGCAUCGCUGGAGUAUGGCAGAGGGGGGUAGAAUUCCACGUGUAGCAGUGAAAUGCGUAGAGAUGUGGAGGAAUACCGAUGGCGAAGGCAGCCCCCUGGGCCAAUACUGACGCUCAUGCACGAAAGCGUGGGGAGCAAACAGGAUUAGAUACCCUGGUAGUCCACGCCCUAAACGAUGUCAACUGGUUGUUGGGGAUUCAUUUCCUUAGUAACGUAGCUAACGCGUGAAGUUGACCGCCUGGGGAGUACGGUCGCAAGAUUAAAACUCAAAGGAAUUGACGGGGACCCGCACAAGCGGUGGAUGAUGUGGAUUAAUUCGAUGCAACGCGAAAAACCUUACCUACCCUUGACAUGU
RNAcentral lists this ribosomal RNA (535 nucleotides) under Paraburkholderia sp. RNAcentral describes it as "bacterial SSU rRNA". It matches the Rfam family "Bacterial small subunit ribosomal RNA", at positions 455 to 989 of the family's 1533-position model. Lineage: Bacteria; Pseudomonadati; Pseudomonadota; Betaproteobacteria; Burkholderiales; Burkholderiaceae. The record is from RNAcentral.